CAGCAUUGCCCUCGAGUGGGGUCCCAGCUGUAUCUCCCUUGUGACGCUCCAUCUCUGCAUUGCAGCAGGGGGACCCAACCCUGAUUUCAACACCAACCUGCAAACAUCACUGAGCUAUGCCAGAGCAUGGUCUUGACGAAAGCAUCCACUGAGGUGGCCAUCAAGGGAAGGGUUCAUAGCUGCGUCCUGUCAGCCGGGCUCAUGGGCUGCAGCCUUUUUGAAUUCUCUAGGUCAGGCCCGACCUUGCCGAGGUGUUACAGGUGUCACCCUGGAUGCGGCAGGUACGUGGAUGGGAUGGAUGAGGAUGCGCUGUCUUUCAGGAUUUGCUGACUCGUGAUCUGAGGACCGUGCUAACGCCACUGCGAUCGGCUGCCUCUGUGACGGACAGCAUUGUGGUGAUGUCACGCAGUUCCUUUCACCGGUUCUGUGACAGGAAGACCUGAGGUGCAACGAAUCCUGCCAAGAAUGCUCACUUCUCUGAAGCUCCAUCAUGGAACCCCAGGGAUUGUAUCCCACCUUGGUGAGAGCCCUCUCCAGCCGGGAGAGGUCCUCACCUCCCCUUGGAAAGAGGCAGAAGGGUCCCGUCCCUCUUUGCUGCCUCCCCCAUGGCUCUGGUAUUGGGGUUACUAGCCUCCCGUGAUGCCAGCUGACCAGGCAGCUGGACUACCGUGUCCGUGCUUCCUAAUGCCCGUACGUCCGGUCUAGAACCCACCACGGAUGCCAGCGCCCACGACUGCGGGACUCCCAAGUCUGCAGCUGCACCCUUCUGUUUCCUGAAUAUGUUGUUACACUCCUGCACAGUCUAUUAGUACAGUAUGCUGAGGGGGUACACCAGGGGUACACCAUCUCAUCUAGACAGUGGUCUAGUUUUACAACAGGCUACAUAAAAAGCACUCGCAAAGUCAGUACAAACUAAACUUUCAUACUGACAAUGACUAGUUUAUACCGCUCUAUAAUACACUGAAAUAUAAGUACAAUAUGUAUAUUGAAGUUGAUUUAUUUUAUCAU
Chelonia mydas (Green sea turtle) is the source of this 1008-nucleotide long non-coding RNA. RefSeq lists it as uncharacterized. Lineage: Eukaryota; Metazoa; Chordata; Testudines; Cheloniidae. The record is from RefSeq and is a predicted model, not a curated record. The transcript is spliced from 2 exons.